GUGCUCGAUUUGGCAGCACAUACCCCCAAACUGGAAGGACACAGAGAUCAACAUGGUUCCCUCUCAAGGGUGACAUGCAUAUUCAUGAUGUGUGCCCUGUUUUU
Molecule: small nuclear RNA, 104 nt
Organism: Vulpes vulpes (red fox)
Lineage: Eukaryota; Metazoa; Chordata; Mammalia; Carnivora; Canidae
Source: Ensembl